Molecule: non-coding RNA, 5461 nt
Organism: Danio rerio (zebrafish)
Lineage: Eukaryota; Metazoa; Chordata; Actinopteri; Cypriniformes; Danionidae
Source: RefSeq, a predicted model, not a curated record
CGCCCACCCCACUGUGGAUCUCUCUCUCUUUCGCUAUCUCUCCCUCUCUCUCUCUCCUCGUCUCUCUUUCCUCUGUUAAUUCAGUUCUGGACAGCGCCGGGUACUGAUGCUGCUGCCCGUGUAGUCGCAUCUAUCCUGGGGGCCUCCUCCCACUCAUCCCAGCUCGAGAAUCCGCAUGUAGAGUCGUUCGGUGUCUGUCGCAGAAAAAAAGUCUCCGCAGUACUGCAUCGGAAUAAGGGCUCAGUGCACAAAUCUUCUUCAACUGUAUUCGUGGCUGUGAGUGUGGCGCUUUUCUGCAUCAGCGCAAAGGAAGUUCUGUUCAGUCGUGCGGUGGGUGAUGCUGUGAGAUGCGUCGUGUUUAGCGCACGGAACCCCGAUUUAUUUGCCCAGACGGGAGAAUAGAAGAAGCCAACAGUGCAUGUGGGCACGUUUUAACUUUGAUUCGGAUUUUUUUCAGGAUGUUUUGACGGGUGCUCUCCUAACGGGUUGACUGAAGAUUUCGCCUUCAAGAGAAGCCCAUUCGAGGCAAAAAAAAAGCAGUUUCAAAGGAGGACAAGCAGCCUCUCCGCACGGGAUUUAAACCUACUGUCUCUUCGGCAUCUUUUUCAAUCGAGAGAGGAUAGCUAUUAACAGAAGGAGACAUGAAAGUUUUUCCGGCAGUAUUGUUUCUGAUCACAUUUUGGAGUCUGGAGUGGGAACCUGUUCUUCCCGAUUCAAUCAUUCACAUCGGGGCCAUUUUUGAUGAGUCUGCCAAAAAGGACGAUGAGGUGUUCCGAAUGGCAGUGGCGGAUCUCAACCUCAACAAUGAAAUCCUGGAGACAGAGAAGAUCACUGUGUCCGUGGAGUUUGUAGAUGGAAACAACCCUUUCCAGGCAGUGCAGGAAGCAUGCGAGUUGAUGAACAGAGGGAUCCUAGCCUUGGUCAGUUCUAUCGGCUGCAUGUCCGCAGGCUCGCUGCAGUCUUUAGCUGAUGCCAUGCACAUCCCUCACCUCUUCAUCCAGAGGGCACCCGCGGGCACUCCUCGCUCCAGCUGCCCACCCACAACUCGUGCACAACCCGAUGACUACACCCUCUUCGUCCGCCCUCCCGUCUAUCUAAAUGACGUCAUCUUCCAAGUGGUGAUGGAGUACACUUGGCAGAAGUUCAUUAUCUUCUAUGACACAGACUAUGAUAUCCGGGGCAUAGAAAACUUCCUGGACCAGACGUCUCAGCAGGGGAUGGAUGUGUCUCUCCAGAAGGUGGAAUCCAAUAUUAACAUGAUGAUCACUGGAAUGUUCCGUACCAUGAGGGUGGAAGAGCUGCAUCGCUACAGGGACACACUGAGACGUGCUGUGCUGUUCAUGAGUCCCGCCACUGCCAAGGCCUUCAUUACCGAGGUGGUGGAAACUAAUCUUGUGGCUUUUGACUGUCACUGGAUCAUCAUAAAUGAGGAGAUUUCAGACAUGGAUGUGCAGGAGCUGGUGAUGAAGUCUAUAGGUCGCUUGACCCUGGUGAGACAGACUUUCCCAUUGCCGCAAAACACCAGCCAACGUUGCGUCAGGAACAACCACCGCAUCAACACUUCCCUCUGCGACCCCAAAGACCCCAAGGCACAGAUGUUAGAGAUCACCAACCGCUACAUCUACGACACGGUGCUGUUGCUGGCCAACACUUUCCACAGGAAGCUGGAGGACAGGAAGUGGCACAGCAUGGCGAGUCUUUCGUGCAUCCGCAAGGGCUCCAAACCCUGGCAAGGUGGCAAGUCUAUGCUGGAAACUGUGAAGAAGGGAGGUGUAAGUGGUCUGACUAGCCUGCUGGAGUUUAAUGAUAAUGGGAGCAACCCCAACAUCCACUUUGAGAUCCUGGGUACCAACUACGGUGAGGACCGCGGUCGUGGAGUCAGCCGGCUCGCCACCUGGGACCCAAUCCACGGACUGAAUGGAACACUGACCGAUCGAAAGCUGGAAAACAACAUGCGUGGGGUCGUCCUACGGGUGGUCACUGUUCUGGAAGAACCGUUUGUGAUGGUGUCUGAAAAUGUGCUUGGAAAACCUAAGAAGUACCAGGGUUUCUCAAUCGAUGUGCUGGACGCUCUGGCCAACUAUCUUGGCUUCAAAUAUGAGAUCUACGUGGCCCCUGAUCACAAAUAUGGCAGCCAGCAAGCAGAUGGGACCUGGAAUGGUCUUAUUGGAGAGCUGGUUUUUAAGAGAGCAGAUGUAGGUCUUUCAGCCCUGACCAUCACUCCUGAGCGGGAGAGCGUGGUGGACUUCACCACCCGCUACAUGGACUACUCCGUCGGCGUGUUGCUGAGGAAGGCGGAGAGGACGGUGGAUAUGUUUGCAUGCCUGGCGCCUUUCGACCUGUCUCUGUGGGCAUGUAUAGCAGGCACAGUUCUGCUGGUGGGCACUCUGGUGUAUCUGCUCAACUGGUUGAACCCUCCCCGACUGCCGAUGGGCUCUGUCUCCUCCACGACCCUCUACAACUCCAUGUGGUUUGUCUACGGCUCCUUCGUCCAGCAGGGUGGCGAAGUGCCCUAUACAACUCUGGCUACCAGGAUGAUGAUGGGGGUUUGGUGGCUCUUUGCUCUAAUAGUCAUCUCCUCCUACACGGCGAAUCUGGCUGCUUUCCUCACUAUCUCCCGCAUCGAGAACUCCAUUCAGUCACUACAAGAUUUGGCUAAGCAGACAGAUUUGCCAUACGGCACGGUUCUGGACUCUGCCGUCUAUGACCAGGUUCGCAGUAAAGGAAUGAACCCUUUCGAACGAGACCCGAUGUAUUCGCAGAUGUGGCGGAUGAUCAACCGGACAGGAGGAGCCGAAAACAACGUGGAGGAAUCAAAAGAAGGCAUCCGGAAGGUGAAGUACGGACGUUUUGCAUUUGUGUGGGAUGCAGCUGUGCUGGAGUAUGUGGCCAUUAAUGACGAGGACUGUUCGCUUUACACCGUGAGCAACAAUGUGGCUGACAGAGGCUACGGCAUGGCGAUGCAGCACGGCAGUCCUUACAGAGACAUCUUCUCUCAGAGGAUCUUGGAGCUUCAGCAGAAUGGAGACAUGGACAUCCUGAAGCUAAAGUGGUGGCCGAGGGACAGUCCGUGUGACCUGUACUCUCCUGUGGGCACUCGGAAAAGUGGCAGCGCCCUGGACAUCCACAGUUUUGCAGGAGUCUUCUUUGUACUAGCGGCCGGUGUGGUUUUGUCCUGUCUCAUUGCCACAGUGGAGACCUGGUGGACACGAAGAAAGGGCUCCAGAGUCCCAUCGAAGGAGACACAAGCAGACGGACCGUCUGUGAGGCAAGACGAGCCAUGUCAUGAGCCGCAGACUGACAUCAUGCUCACACUCAGGCCGUCCUCCAAUCACCUGUCACCUGCAUGCUGCGCCACACCCCUCGACUCCAAGCUGAGACACACGUUCCCUAUCCCGCAGCGAACUGUCUUCUGCCAGCACUGAGCUACACUCUUUCCACACUUCUCCAAGCCUCGAGCCCACGUAGGUUAUGAAAUCGGCCCCCGGCGGCGAAUGCGCUACGAUAUGUUUUUGUACGAGCUUACGCAAUCAAGCAUUUACUGCUGAAAGAGAAUCCACCCGGGGAGUUACGAGGAAGGUCGUUACCAUUCAUUUCCAAAAACCUUGAGAUUUACGCUGAAAUCUUUGCUUGGAAAUGCAAUAAUGUGGGCGCUUUUUGAUACCAGUCUUUUUUUUCUAGCCCACUGAGAUCUAUCUCUUAGUGCCAGGCCGCAUGGAGACUAGACAAAUUUGGCUGAGAGAAUGCAGAAAGGGGAUUCUGCAAACCUGACAGGCAGUUAAUUUGAGCUGCAGCUUUGGAAGGGAGCAGCCCAUACUCAAGACGUUUGCCCUGCAAGCUGGCGUUCGCAAAACUUCAAUAUUUAUAUUGGUGCUGCACAGCCAGACUAAAGUGCCUAAUUUACUGUUUGUUCCCUGUGCAGCCAUUUAACUGUAGAAUGUUGCUUAGAGUAGGUAUUAAUCAGGAGGCCUGGAACUAGAAAAGUCUUAAUUAGUAAAAUAAUAAACUAAUUUUAGCAGGUAGAAGGUUGUUUAAAUCAGUGGUUUUCAAUCUAAGGGCCUGGACGAGAAUGUUUUGAUGGAUAAAUAUAAAACUAAUUGUAACGCGACCAUCAUUCUCAUUUCUCUCCAUUAAAACUGAUAAAAUAUUGUGCCGAAUCAUAACAUAAAAUGUGUAAAUGAAAUAUAUUAUUAAUAAUCAGCUACCCACUAGAGGGCCUCAGCAGACUUCUAAUGGAGCAUACAACACCAUAGGUAAAAUGUUAGAUAUUUUACUUUGCGUGUGUGUGUAUAUAUACACAGUACCUAAAAUAUGUGUUGUAUUCUGCAACAAAUUAAAUAAUAGUAAAUAAUUUUCACAUUUUAAAUAAUAUUUUCAUAAUAUAAUAUAAUUUGUCCUGUAAACUAGCUUCAUAUAAUAAAAAGAAAAUGGUAUCUUUAUUUCAAAGGAGGUACAAAAUUAUUGUUUCAAAUAGAGGCCCUUUAAAUGUUCACUGUAUUUAAAUGCAGUUUAUUUUUGUCUGACUGAAAUUGUACUAGUCAGGCUUUAGUGAAGUCAGAAUAAGAGACCUAAAUUAUGUGCCUGUACAGUAGAUCUUCAAGUUGUAGGUCUGCAUUUUUGCAUUUUGCACAAACAUCAAAAGACAAAGUUGACGUGCAUGCACUGUGAAAAAAAAAAGUUUGUAUUUUUUUUUAAUUCUGUAAAAUAACAGACAUUAAAUUACAUAAAUUUCCUUACAUUUAAAUUUCCGGUAAAUUUCCUUCAUUUAACGUCUGUUAUUUUACAGUAAAUUUCUGUAAUUAUAGGCCUUUUUUAUGUUUUUUUUUUCAGCACCCCAGCUGCUGGAAAAAUAUAAAAUAAAUAACAGAUUUUUUUACAGUGUAUGUUUUUAAUCUUUCAGGUACUUGAUAACACAGAGAUGUUGUAGCUCCUUUAUAACUUGCAUGAACAAUUGAAAACUUGCAAGACUGAGAACCACUGGUUUAAAGAUUUGAAAGUAGCGCUUUAUCCAUAUACAUGAAUCACACCUUGUCUCAUAAAAAAUAAUAAUAAUAAUAAUAAAAAUUUAUUAUUCAAAGCACAUCAGCGCAUUUUGGAAAACACAAGAUCCCUGGUUAGCUCAACAACACAAAUCAAAGAACAGCCUUCCCACAAUCCCGUUUCCUUCACUCCUAUGUCCUUUUUAACACCACCUUCCACCAAUGUGGUGGUAGGACGGGUACCUAUGAACUGCUCCUUGAUCUCCUGUCCCCACCAACCCAACCAGGUUCCCCAUUGCCCCUUUUUACUCAGGGCCACGCUGCCUGCCACUGGUGGCUGGAAUCAACAAAGUGCUUUAAGCUGGUCCAAAACAGAGGCUUUUUUAUCACGGCAACAAUGUCAGCCCACCUCACCUCGACGAUAAGGAGAUCGACCUGGAGCACCUUCAUCACCGGGUUAACAGCUUGUGCACGGAGGACGA